Long non-coding RNA from Carya illinoinensis, 1295 nucleotides. RefSeq lists it as uncharacterized. The record is from RefSeq and is a predicted model, not a curated record. Lineage: Eukaryota; Viridiplantae; Streptophyta; Magnoliopsida; Fagales; Juglandaceae. The transcript has 2 exons.
GUAGGAGUAGAGUAAUUUAGUUUUGCUCUUAGUUUUUUUUUUUCUUUAGUUUUUGGAGAGAACUUGGACGAGAAGAGGGAGCACAACAAUGCAGUUGCAACUGUUGCUGCCCAGCUUUCCUCCUCUGCCUCCAUGUUUUCGACUGCUGCACUGAUACCUGGUAAUUUAGGAAGGCCAAAUCCAGAGCAUGCUUAGAGGGCUGAGUGUAGACAACUAGCUCAAAUGGUGAUUUUCCAGCGGAUUGGUUACACAUGCUAUUGAAAGCAAAUUCUAUGGAAGAAUCAUGUCCCAUUGCUUCGGUUUGUCACCAUAAAUACAACGGAGCAUAUUGUCCAAAGUUUUGUUGGUCACUUCAGUUUGGGCAUCAGUUUGAGGAUGACAAGUGCUACUAUACUUGAGUGAAAUUCCAAAUUUCUUCCAUAGAGUCACCCAAAAAUGGCUGAGAAACUUAGUAUCAUGGUCUAAAGUAAUUGUUUUAGGGACUUCAUGCAAGCGAACUACCUCUUUAAAGAAGAGAUGAGCAAUGUUUGAGACGUCUAAUGCCUUCCAGCAAUAAAUGAAAUGUGCCAAUUUUGAAAAUCGAUCAACGACCACAAAAACAGAGUCAGCUCCACGCUGGGUUCGGGGUAGGCCAAGUACAAAAUCCAUGCUCAAGUCUUUCCAAAUAUUUGUCGACACUGGUAAUGGCAUGUAAAGACCUAUGUUUUGUGAUUGACCCGUCCCUACUUGGCAUAUAGGACAUCCUUGCAUGAACUUGCCAACAUAUUUCAUUAACUGAGGCCAAAAGUAACAUUUGGUAACCAAAAAAAUGGUUUUAUCUCUCCCUACAUGUCCUCUUAGACCUCCUCCAUGUAACUUUCAGAUCAGAUGUUCCCAUAAUGAAGUUCUGGGAAUGUAAAAUUGGUUCCCAUGAAAAAGAUAACCAGCUUGAAUAUGGAAGUCCUCUGCAGCUUGGCCAUUCGAGCAUUGGUUCCAGGUAUUGGCGAAGUCCAGGUCAUCGGCAUACAAGUCUUGCAGCUGCUCAAAACUCAUAAGUUCGGCCUUCAAAGUCACCAGCAGGGUUGCUCGACAGCUGUAGGCGUCAGCGACCCUAUUCUGUUGCCCACAUUUAUGUUUCAAGACCAUGGUGAACUUUUGCAUGAACUCGAUCCACCUUGUAUGAAUUCGGUUCAGAUUUCUUUCAGUAUUGAUAAACUUCAGGGCAUAAUGAUCACUGUAUAGGACAAAAUUCCCUUUGUAUCAGAUAAUGCUCCUAGUGAUUAAGCGAUUUAAUGACAACGUAAAAUUCUAGUUCA